CCUUUAGGUUCGGAACAACACAGGGAAACUUGUGCUAAUACCGGAUAAGCCCUUCGGGGGAAAGAUUUAUCGCCUUUAGAGCAGCCCGCGUCUGAUUAGCUUGUUGGUGAGGUAAUGGCUCACCAAGGCGACGAUCAGUAGCUGGUCUGAGAGGAUGGCCAGCCACAUUGGGACUGAGACACGGCCCAAACUCCUACGGGAGGCAGCAGUGGGGAAUCUUGCGCAAUGGGCGAAAGCCUGACGCAGCCAUGCCGCGUGGAUGAUGAAGGUCUUAGGAUUGUAAAAUCCUUUCACCGGGGACGAUAAUGACGGUACCCGGAGAAGAAGCCCCGGCUAACUUCGUGCCAGCAGCCGCGGUAAUACGAAGGGGGCUAGCGUUGCUCGGAAUUACUGGGCGUAAAGGGAGCGUAGGCGGAUCGUUAAGUUGGGGGUGAAAGCCCGGGGCUCAACCUCGGAAAUGCCUUCAAUACUGGCGAUCUUGAGUAUGGGAGAGGUGAGUGGAACUCCGAGUGUAGAGGUGAAAUUCGUAGAUAUUCGGAAGAACACCAGUGGCGAAGGCGACUCACUGGCCCAUUACUGACGCUGAGGCUCGAAAGCGUGGGGAGCAAACAGGAUUAGAUACCCUGGUAGUCCACGCUGUAAACGAUGAGUGCUAGUUGUCGGCAUGCAUGCAUGUCGGUGACGCAGCUAACGCAUUAAGCACUCCGCC
RNAcentral lists this ribosomal RNA (709 nucleotides) under Alphaproteobacteria bacterium SJ-2A. RNAcentral's name for it is "bacterial SSU rRNA". It matches the Rfam family "Bacterial small subunit ribosomal RNA", at positions 129 to 873 of the family's 1533-position model. The record is from RNAcentral. Lineage: Bacteria; Pseudomonadati; Pseudomonadota; Alphaproteobacteria.